GGGGGCGCUGUGUCCGUAUAUAUACUGAUAAGGGGGCGCUGUGUCGUUUGUAUAUAUACUGAUAAGGGGGCGCUGUGUCGUUUGUAUACUGAUAGGGGCGCUGUGUCGUUUGUAUAUAUACUGAUAGGGGGCGCUGUGUCGUUCGUAUAUAUACUGAUAGGGGGCGCUGUGUCGAAGUCACCGUACCGCCAUCUUGGCACUCCCUCACCAUUUGUAAAACAUCUAUUUUAAUUUAUUACAGACACCUGUAAGAGUGUAAAGUGACCCGGUGCAGAAAGCCUAGCGGUUAAGCGCGUUGAGCCAAUAACCGAAAGGUUGCUGGUUCGAAUCCUCGACCGGGCAAGGUGUAAAAAAAUAAAUAAAAUCUGCCGUUCUCCCUUUGAACAAGUCAGUUAACCCCCAACAACAACUGCUCCCCGGGUACCGAUGUCGUGGAUUAAGGCAGCCCCCCCCCCACCUCCCUGAUUCAGAGGGGUUGGGUUAAGUGCUGAAGACAGUUCAAUUCAAUGCAUUGUUGUGCAAUGUAUCCCCAACCAACUGACUAGGUAUCCCCAACCAACUGACUAGGUAUCCCCAACCAACUGACGAGGUAUCCCCAAGCAACUGACGAGGUAUCCCCAAGCAACUGACGAGGUAUCCCCUUUGUGUGACAGAGAGAAGUGUUUGCAGUGCUGCUGGUGGAAACGUCAUUUCGCCUAGUCAUCCUUUUAAAGCAGCCUUCAGGACUGCUGCUGACUGGAUGUUUUGGUUUGUUGCAUCCUUCUCAGUAAACCCGAGAGAGACACUGUCGUGCGUGAAAAGCCCAGGAGGC
Oncorhynchus tshawytscha (Chinook salmon) is the source of this 811-nucleotide long non-coding RNA. The record is from Ensembl. NCBI's taxonomy places the organism in Eukaryota, Metazoa, Chordata, Actinopteri, Salmoniformes, Salmonidae.